This 922-nucleotide long non-coding RNA is filed under the name Cyanistes caeruleus (blue tit). RNAcentral describes it as "lncRNA (ENSCCEG00000016062.1)". The record is from RNAcentral. Lineage: Eukaryota; Metazoa; Chordata; Aves; Passeriformes; Paridae.
ACUCAUGUUUAACUAUAAAUUUAGACUCAGAACAAGAAUUUUAUAUUGACCCAUUGGCAUAUGAACUUUCAUUCAAUGUCACAGGUGCAACAUUAGCAGCCAGAAGCUGAGAUGCUGAAGAGUUUAAACUACCUGGUGAGCUGUGAAUGGAGAAACAUGACACACCAGAAAGUGCAACUGGAUUUCAAGAAAGCAAAAGUAACUACAUUUCCCUUGAAAAGGGGACUGAAGCCUUGCAGUCUGUUACGUACCAAUUGGAGAACAGGUCACUUCCAACCCCACUAAGAAAAGCAGAUACAGUGAACUACUACUUGCCUUUCUUCUCCUCAUACAUUUUUCACCAGAAGAGCAGAGAAAGUUGUUCUUCCCUGAAGAAAGACACUCCACAGAAAAAUCAAGAAGUCCAAAUAUUUCCAAGUGAGCACCAACUGGCAUGCCAUCUCUUGACAAUAUUGUUUCCUGAGAGUAAACCAUAAACAGCUAUACACCUGGGUACUAUAUUUUAGUAGAACAACCACAACAAAAAGACAAAAUCUGUGUUCCCUUUUGGUAUUUUGCUACCAGCUUCCACACUCAUCUAUGUAAUUGUCUGUGUUUUCCAAUAUCCUACAUAUAUUUUCUUCUGAGCAGACCUGCAGUGCCACUAAGGUUCUCAUUCAGACCAAUUUAUUAUGUAGGUCCUACAAGAAGUUAGCCAACUAAAACUGGUGUCUUACUCCAUUUUUGGAAAUAUCAACAUACAAAUUACAGUACAGGAAAAAGCCAUCAAUGCCUAUGAGUACAUCUCACUUCUAACACCACAUUAAAUCACACUUGAGAGAAUCACAGGACAGGCAGUAUCUCUUUUCACCUAUUUUGAGAAGCACUUUCAUCCAAUUAGGUGCUACAGUAAUAAAUUCUUAUUUUCAUUAUUAAAGAAGCA